CAUCCCAGAGCUGGGAUCCCAGUCCCAGAUCCAGGAUCCCAGUCCCGAUCCCAGUCCCAAUCCCAGUCCUGUGAUCCCAGUCCCAAAUCCUCGAUCCCAGUAUGAAAAUAACAGUCCCAGUCCCAAAACUGUGAUCCCAGUCCCAGAUCCAGGAUCCCAGUCCCAAAUCCAUGAUCCCAAUCCCGGAUCCAUGAUCCCAGAAUAACAAUCCCAGUAGGAAAAUGAUAAUCCCAGUCCAGGAAUAACAAUCCCAGUAGGAAAAUAGUGAUCCCAGUCCCAAAAUAACAAUCCCAGUACAAAAACAGGGAUCCCAGAUCUGUGAUCCCAGUCCAGGAAUAACAAUCCCAGUAGGAAAAUAGUGAUCCCAGUCCCAGAGCUGCAUCCCAGAGCUGGGAUCCCAGUCCCAGAUCCACGAUCCCAGUCCCAGAUCCCAAUCCCAAUUCCAUGAUCUCAGUCCCAGAGCAGUGAUCCC
RNAcentral lists this long non-coding RNA (472 nucleotides) under Zonotrichia albicollis (white-throated sparrow). RNAcentral's name for it is "lncRNA (ENSZALG00000001418.1)". Lineage: Eukaryota; Metazoa; Chordata; Aves; Passeriformes; Passerellidae. The record is from RNAcentral.